RNAcentral lists this long non-coding RNA (3281 nucleotides) under Homo sapiens (human). RNAcentral describes it as "non-protein coding LINC01128:98". Lineage: Eukaryota; Metazoa; Chordata; Mammalia; Primates; Hominidae. The record is from RNAcentral.
AUUUUUCUCACUUUUAGAGAAAAUAAGAGAAGUAUCCCUGAAGGAUGAAAUAUCCUCGAAUAUGAAAAGGUCUGCUCUCUGAAGACCAACUGUCUCAGUCUGCUUUUUGCUGCUGUAACAGAAUACCACAGACUUGGUUACAUUAGUUAUACACUCUGGAGGUGACUUGACCUGUCAUUGUGAACAAUUAUUGCUCUUGGACGACCCAGGACAUAGGCCAGCCAGUACGUACCCCAGUGUGUUGGAGAAUCGCGCUCGGCUUCUUCCUCUGUGCUGAGUCAUGAAAGUUGCCGGAGCAGGUGCAGUUACACAACCUCCAGACAUCUAGGCUUGCUGUCAAGGCUUCUGAUCAACAUGAGAUGACCGCCGUGUGGUAAACUGAUGAACCCUGACCCUGAUCAACAUGAGAUGACCGCCGUGUGGUAAACUGAUGAACCCCGACCCUGAUGAACGUGAGAUGACCGCCGUGUGGUAAACUGAUGAACCCCGACCCUGAUGAACGUGAGAUGACCGCCGUGUGGUAAACUGAUGAACCCCGACCCUGAUGAACGUGAGAUGACCGCCGUGUGGUAAACUGAUGAACCCCGACCCUGAUGAACGUGAGAUGACCGCCGUGUGGUAAACUGAUGAACCCCGACCCUGAUCAACGUGAGAUGACCGCCGUGUGGUAAACUGAUGAACCCCGACCCUGAUGAACAUGAGAUGACCGCCGUGUGGUAAACUGAUGAACCCCGACCCUGAUCAACAUGAGAUGACCGCCGUGUGGUAAACUGAUGAACCCCGACCCUGAUCAACAUGAGAUGACUGCCGUGUGGUAAACUGAUGAACCCUGACCCAUUAGGCUUUGGCUACAGAAUGUGGAAAUAAGUUGUGUUACUACAUGUGUGUAAUCCUAGGGUGCAGGACACCGGCCGGGAGGUUCCAUAGAGUGAUGGGUUCUGCAGGUAACUCAUCCUCUAGUCCUCUGUAAGCUCCUAGAAGGAAGAAAUUAUGUCCUUUAGACUAAUAAAAUUCCUCCAAACCAAAUACAGCACCUACUGUGAAGACACAAAGAUACUUUUAGAAUAGUAAAAACUUUAUCCAUUGAGAAAUUCCUUAAUGAAACAGUAUCCAAGAAGUCAUUUGCCAGCAGAUUUCUUAGAGGUGCGAUAAAGAAGAGGACAUUGCCAGUCGUCACAGCAGCUGCAAUAGCUCCUCUCUAUUGUUAAACAGUGGGAUAUCUUGUGCAGGUUUUCAGUUGACAAUCAAUUUUAAAGAUUAGUUUCGGUCCCCAUCAAUCAAUUAUUUAUUAACCCAUCAAUAAAAAUUUAAAUGCUCUGUGAGGUACAAUAGCUAUUAAAAGAGACAGAGGCACUUUCUGUGUCCAGAGGGGCUUUUAGUCUGCUCUGGAAAGCAAGAUGCGUGCAGAUGAGUGACGCAGUGCAUCGUGUGGAUGCAAAGGGAGGGACUCACAUGGGAACCAGAGGAGCUACGAAGGGAGGCAGUGGGGACUGGUGGGUCGAGACCUGGAAAUAACACAUGAAUAGGCAACAAAGGUUUCCUUUCCUCUUCCAUGCACUUCAGUCCUUGAAAAACGUCUUACCACGGAAUUCCACAGCGUACCAAGCGAUUCCACAGCUUGAUGGCACACUCUCCUUUCUCAGCAUUCUUGAAAAUGGCGUGUGAGCCAAGCCAUCUUACUGAGAAAUUACCUUAAACCAUUUGAUGAACCAAAAAUAUUUUGUAAUACCCAUCUCCGACAUUAGGUAGGCAAAUCACACAGAAACACCGAGGUCUUCUGAGUCAUAUUUAUCUGAAAAAUCACAGCUUGGGUGCAUGUGAAGCCAGAGGAGCACUCCUGGGGCCUGCGGUGCCAUCACUCAGCUCCCCUGGGCUUCACAUGGCCAUGGAGCACCCAGCAAGUGUAGGCUCUGAGCCUUCAGGGAGGGGCGGCAUCAGCCAGCACCAUCGUCUCCUGGGUCUUGUGCCUCUUCCUUGGUUGCGGUGUUGUCAGGGCCAGAAUUGGGCAAUUCCGGGUGACAUCCAGGUGUGGCUGCUGACACGGAGCACAGGACACCCUGCUCCUGUGGUUUGCAGCCCCGGCCUUCUCUUCGAGGACGCCUCUGCUCUUCUGCCUCACACUCGGAUUGGACCUUCUUCAGCACAGCCAGUGGCCGAGGCUUCCUCCCUGGGGCUCAGUGGAGCAGGACAGAUGCUGCAUCCAAACUCUUCCAUUGGGUUCCAGUCUGUUCCAGUCAUGCCCUUGAGCCUCUAAAGCUCCUAGGUGAGAGACGUAGCAGCUGACAGCACUUCCCACUUGAUUUGGGUGGACUCCAGCCUCCCCAGCAACAAUAAGAGAUCAAAAGCAUCGUUGAGGAAGCAGCUUGCUGAAACGCUGAGUGCCCGCCACUCUCAGGUCAGGUGGGACCGGCAGGCCAGCAUGAGUUCCUGAACACUUGGUUCUCAAUACUGGCCACAGCCACACUGUAAGGGGAAACAAGAGGGCACUGUAUGCAAACAUCUCUUGAACUCUGGAGUCUGCUCACCUUCCUGCCUCAAGCCCCUCUCCCACGUGGUCCAGUCACCAUUCUCCACAGAGACUACCCUAAAACCCAGCGACUCUCGUGUGCCUGCAGAAUGGCACAGCCCGUUCUCAUAGCAGCACUCCUGUUUAAUCAGAGGGAUGUUAACGACCAAGUCAUAUUUGCUCGAUUUGUGUUCAACAUAUUUCAUUUGUACCGAUAAAACUUAAAAAUAUCCCCACACAUGCAUUGCCUAUUAAAGAGUAUCUUCCAGGUACACCUCCCUUACACAUCAGUUAACUUGAUAAUUUCUUCCCAUUCUUGUGCAAUAAAUUUCCUUCCUGAUCAGCUCUGUCCAGCAGCAACAAUAAUCCACGUAGAGACAUGCAAACUAAAAGUCCGUUAGUGGAGGCACGAAGCUGAUGAGGCUUGGAAAAAAAUGACCGAUUUGAUUAAAAUUAGGACCCAUGGGAGUGGAGCUCUGCCUAUUUUAGAGGCAAAGUAAAUGCCUGGGAGUCCAAUCACCGACAUUCUGUUUGAGGUUUCUAAUCACAAGGAAGAUGGAGAAAAUGCAGAACAAGUGGUCAAGAACAGGGAGAUAAUAAAUAGAAUAUUUAUGGGCUGAGGAAAACAAUUACCAGGGGAAAGCCCAAGAAGCAAAGAUGAACAGAGAACGUGCUGACUGCGCUCGUUUGGAAAGGCCUCAUGGCCAAAGGAGGAGAGGCAUUAUGAGGAGCAGUGACCGAGUGGGCAGGACCCCCGGGGAUCAGGAAAGGUGCA